UAGAAAGUAGUUAAAUUAUAAUGUUGGUUUGUCAGGUCAAAGUUAAGAGUUUAUCUCUUCUUUCUAU
RNAcentral lists this transfer RNA (67 nucleotides) under Modiolus metcalfei. RNAcentral's name for it is "tRNA-Asp". It matches the Rfam family "tRNA". From Rfam's summary of the family: Transfer RNA (tRNA) molecules are approximately 80 nucleotides in length. Their secondary structure includes four short double-helical elements and three loops (D, anti-codon, and T loops). Lineage: Eukaryota; Metazoa; Mollusca; Bivalvia; Mytilida; Modiolidae. The record is from RNAcentral. RNAcentral also lists the same sequence under 1 other name.